UGUGAGUGGUUCGAUUUUUAGGUUAUAUUCCCGUAAAUAAAACAACUUUCCUUAUUUUCUAAUCAGGUGGUGGUUUAUUAAUACAUAAAACCAAAGGUUUUCCCUUCACAUCCUUCAUAAAAAAUUAAAAAAAAUAAAAAUACCGAACAUUCUCCUCACGUGUGAAAGUCAAAGCUACGAUAACACCAAGCCAACACUGACAUUGGCAAAUUCACCCUGUGCAAAUUGGCAGGGAGUAAAAGCCAAAG
Leguminivora glycinivorella is the source of this 248-nucleotide long non-coding RNA. RefSeq lists it as uncharacterized. The record is from RefSeq and is a predicted model, not a curated record. The transcript is spliced from 2 exons. NCBI's taxonomy places the organism in Eukaryota, Metazoa, Arthropoda, Insecta, Lepidoptera, Tortricidae.